Molecule: ribosomal RNA, 967 nt
Filed under: Trigonopterus sp. 852 AR-2022a
Lineage: Eukaryota; Metazoa; Arthropoda; Insecta; Coleoptera; Curculionidae
Description: SSU rRNA
Rfam family: Eukaryotic small subunit ribosomal RNA
Source: RNAcentral
GUCAUAUGCUUGUCUCAAAGAUUAAGCCAUGCAUGUCUCAGUACAAGCCAAAUUAAGGUGAAACCGCGAAAGGCUCAUUAAAUCAGUUAUGGUUCCUUAGAUCGUACCCACAAUUACUUGGAUAACUGUGGUAAUUCUAGAGCUAAUACAUGCAAACAGAGCUCCGACCGGAGACGGAAGGAGUGCUUUUAUUAGAUCAAAACCAAUCGGUGGCGAGUUCGCUCGUCAUCGUACAACUUGGUGACUCUGAAUAACUUUACGCUGAUCGCACGGUCAUCGCACCGGCGACGCAUCUUUCAAAUGUCUGCCUUAUCAACUGUCGAUGGUAGGUUCUGCGCCUACCAUGGUUGUAACGGGUAACGGGGAAUCAGGGUUCGAUUCCGGAGAGGGAGCCUGAGAAACGGCUACCACAUCCAAGGAAGGCAGCAGGCGCGCAAAUUACCCACUCCCGGCACGGGGAGGUAGUGACGAAAAAUAACGAUACGGGACUCAUCCGAGGCCCCGUAAUCGGAAUGAGUACACUCUAAACCCUUUAACGAGGAUCAAUUGGAGGGCAAGUCUGGUGCCAGCAGCCGCGGUAAUUCCAGCUCCAAUAGCGUAUAUUAAAGUUGUUGCGGUUAAAAAGCUCGUAGUCGAAUUUGUGUCUCGCGCCGCCGGUUCAUCGUCCGCGGUGUUAACUGGCGAGUCGCGAGACGUCCUGCCGGUGGGCUUAGCUCGCGAGGGCGGCCCAACUCAAUCCUGCCGCGGUGCUCUUCAUUGAGUGUCGAGGUGGGCCGGCACGUUUACUUUGAACAAAUUAGAGUGCUUAAAGCAGGCUAAAACUUCGCCUGAAUAUUGUGUGCAUGGAAUAAUGGAAUAGGACCUCGGUUCUAUUUUGUUGGUUUUCGGAACCCCGAGGUAAUGAUUAAUAGGAACGGAUGGGGGCAUUCGUAUUGCGACGUUAGAGGUGAAAUUCUUGGAUCGUCGC